AUUCUAUUCCCUCCGUUCGAAAUUACUCGUCACAAAAAUGGAUAAAAAUGGAUGUAUCUACAAUUAAAAUACAUCUAGAUACAUUCAUUUCUUGGACGAGUAAUUCUGAACGGAGGGAGUAGCAC
Triticum aestivum (bread wheat) is the source of this 125-nucleotide non-coding RNA. The record is from Rfam. NCBI's taxonomy places the organism in Eukaryota, Viridiplantae, Streptophyta, Magnoliopsida, Poales, Poaceae.